GACGAACGCUGGCGGCGUGCCUAAUACAUGCAAGUAGGAUGCAGUUGCGAACGGGUGAGUAACGCGUAGGUAACUACCUAUUAGAGGGGGAUAACUAUUGGAAACGAUAGCUAAUACCGCCUACUAGUAGAUGGACCUGCGUUGUAUUAGCUAGUAGGUAGGGUAAAGGCCUACCUAGGCAACGAUACAUAGCCGACCUGAGAGGGUGAUAGGCCACACUGGGACUGAGACAAGGCCCCGACUCCUACGGGAUGCAGCAGUAGGGAAUCUUCGGCAAUGGGGGGAACGCGGACCGAGCAACGCCGCGGGAGUGAAGAAGGGUUUCGGAUCGGAAAGCUCUGUUGUUAAGGAAGCGGUACUUAACCAGAAAGCGACGGCUAACUACGUGCCAGCAGCCGCGGUAAUUC
RNAcentral lists this ribosomal RNA (407 nucleotides) under uncultured bacterium. RNAcentral's name for it is "partial 16S ribosomal RNA". It matches the Rfam family "Bacterial small subunit ribosomal RNA", at positions 28 to 526 of the family's 1533-position model. The record is from RNAcentral.